AGACCCGAAACCCGGUGAUCUAGCCAUGGGCAGGUUGAAGGUUGGGUAACACUAACUGGAGGACCGAACCGACUAAUGUUGAAAAAUUAGCGGAUGACCUGUGGCUGGGGGUGAAAGGCCAAUCAAACCGGGAGAUAGCUGGUUCUCCCCGAAAGCUAUUUAGGUAGCGCCUCGUGAAUUCAUCUCCGGGGGUAGAGCACUGUUUCGGCUAGGGGGCCAUCCCGGCUUACCAACCCGAUGCAAACUGCGAAUACCGGAGAAUGUUAUCACGGGAGACACACGGCGGGUGCUAACGUCCGUCGUGAAGAGGGAAACAACCCAGACCGCCAGCUAAGGUCCCAAAGUCAUGGUUAAGUGGGAAACGAUGUGGGAAGGCCCAGACAGCCAGGAUGUUGGCUUAGAAGCAGCCAU
RNAcentral lists this ribosomal RNA (411 nucleotides) under Salmonella enterica. Its description in RNAcentral is "partial 23S ribosomal RNA". It matches the Rfam family "Bacterial large subunit ribosomal RNA", at positions 711 to 1119 of the family's 2925-position model. Lineage: Bacteria; Pseudomonadati; Pseudomonadota; Gammaproteobacteria; Enterobacterales; Enterobacteriaceae. The record is from RNAcentral.